CCGUAUAACGAACGAGACCUUAACCUGCUAAAUAAGCCAGGCCGGCCUUUUGCUGGUCGCCGGCUUCUUAGAGGGACUGUCAGCGUCUAGCUGACGGAAGUUUGAGGCAAUAACAGGUCUGUGAUGCCCUUAGAUGUUCUGGGCCGCACGCGCGCUACACUGACAGAGCCAGCGAGUUAUUUCACCUAGGCCGGAAGGUCCGGGUAAUCUUGUGAAACUCUGUCGUGCUGGGGAUAGAGCAUUGCAAUC
This 249-nucleotide ribosomal RNA is filed under the name uncultured fungus. Its description in RNAcentral is "partial small subunit ribosomal RNA". It matches the Rfam family "Eukaryotic small subunit ribosomal RNA", at positions 1325 to 1591 of the family's 1831-position model. Lineage: Eukaryota; Fungi. The record is from RNAcentral.